Molecule: ribosomal RNA, 327 nt
Filed under: uncultured Bacteroidota bacterium
Lineage: Bacteria; Pseudomonadati; Bacteroidota
Description: bacterial SSU rRNA
Rfam family: Bacterial small subunit ribosomal RNA
Source: RNAcentral
GAUGAACGCUAGCGGCAGGCCUAAUACAUGCAAGACGAACGGUAACUUUGAUAGCAAUAUUGAAGCUAGAGUGUCGUAAGGGUGCGUAACACGUAUGCAAUCUACCCUCAACAGGAGAAUAGCUCCCCGAAAGGGGAAUUAACACUCCGUAAUAUCUUAGUGAGGCAUCUCAAUAAGAUUAAAACUACGGUGGUUAAGGAUGAGCAUGCGCAUGAUUAGUUAGUUGGCGGGGUAAUGGCCCACCAAGACGAUGAUCAUUAGGGGAACUGAGAGGUUGACUCCCCCACACUGGCACUGAGAUACGGGCCAGACUCCGUACGGGAGCUG